GCGCUUGUAGCUCAGUUGGAUAGAGCGCAGCUUUGCGGAGGCUGAGGCCGUGGGUUCGAGCCCCACCAAGCGUG
Molecule: transfer RNA, 74 nt
Filed under: Dehalococcoidia bacterium
Lineage: Bacteria; Bacillati; Chloroflexota; Dehalococcoidia
Description: tRNA-Arg
Rfam family: tRNA
About the family: Transfer RNA (tRNA) molecules are approximately 80 nucleotides in length. Their secondary structure includes four short double-helical elements and three loops (D, anti-codon, and T loops). Further hydrogen bonds mediate the characteristic L-shaped molecular structure. tRNAs have two regions of fundamental functional importance: the anti-codon, which is responsible for specific mRNA codon recognition, and the 3' end, to which the tRNAs corresponding amino acid is attached (by aminoacyl-tRNA synthetases). tRNAs cope with the degeneracy of the genetic code in two manners: having more than one tRNA (with a specific anti-codon) for a particular amino acid; and 'wobble' base-pairing, i.e. permitting non-standard base-pairing at the 3rd anti-codon position.
Source: RNAcentral